Molecule: ribosomal RNA, 240 nt
Filed under: uncultured Actinomycetales bacterium
Lineage: Bacteria; Bacillati; Actinomycetota; Actinomycetes; Actinomycetales
Description: partial 16S ribosomal RNA
Rfam family: Bacterial small subunit ribosomal RNA
Source: RNAcentral
ACUCGAGUGGCGAACGGGUGAGUAACACGUGGGUGAUCUGCCCUGCACUUCGGGAUAAGCUGGGAAACUGGGUCUAAUACCGGAUAGGAGCCAUCUUUAGUGUGGUGGUUGGAAAGUUUUUCGGUGUAGGAUGAGCUCGCGGCCUAUCAGCUUGUUGGUGGGGUAAUGGCCUACCAAGGCGGCGACGGGUAGCCGGCCUGAGAGGGUGUACGGCCACAUUGGGACUGAGAUACGGCCCAG